This 1008-nucleotide long non-coding RNA is filed under the name Phoenix dactylifera (date palm). RNAcentral describes it as "long non-coding RNA (PDAC_LNC015988)". Lineage: Eukaryota; Viridiplantae; Streptophyta; Magnoliopsida; Arecales; Arecaceae. The record is from RNAcentral.
UGUUUUAAUGGUCUAUUUCGUGCUGGGUAUUUCGAUCAUUUUGAUUUCCCAGUAAUGGUCACUUCUUAUUUGGGACAGAUUUUGGGUCAUUUUGGUCUCUUGGUCUUAUUUGUGACGGUAAUUAUGUUGUGGGGGGUUUCUGGAAAAGAGACAUGAUAUGUUAACUGGGGUUAAGAAAGCAGUUUGACAUUUGAGGCGAGAAGCUUCUCCAAGAAGCCUCUAGCUCAAGUAUUGGAAUUGAGGAUUCUGAGGAGUCAACCUGCGGCACCAUCCGAUCCCUCUAUCACUGUGUCAUGCAUGAGAGGUUUGCAUUCCGCCAUUGUUUCCUCCUCUUUUCUGAGCUGUGAAGCUCUAGAUUUUAGGUACUUUCUUGAAUCUGAAGAAAUACCUGAUCUUUGUGCUCUAAAGUUGAUCACUUUACUGUUUUCGACUGGUUCUGCUCCUAUAUUGCGCUGAGAUUUAUGAAAGAGCAUUGUCUAUCUGCUGUUAAGUAGCUCCUUGUUCAUCUAUUGUUUAGUUGGGCGAUCUCUCUAUAAGAAGUAGAAUCAACUUAUUUCAAAUUUCAGUUUGCUUCAGUAGGAGUUCCACAAACUGAGUGCAAAGUGAUAGAGAAUGAUUAGAGAAUGUAUACAAAUAUAUAACAAUGAUAUAAGAAUGAUGUAAAAAAAGGUGCUCGAAUUCAUGUUAGAAGAUCAGGAAAUAAGUGGGAUAGACCUAAGCGAUCACAGAUUGUCCUCAUGAGAAAGGACUUAAAAAGAUUUUAAUAACAAUAGAGAAGCACCAUAAUAGUAAUUGUGGAUUCAUAAAGCUGCACUAAAUAGUCAGGACAAAGGCUGAUGGUAAUGGUUAUUUAGCAGCAUAGCCUCUCUAAAAGAUAUAUUUGCAUUACAAGUACAGGUAGAUGUUGGGUCACUAUCCAUUUUAACAAUAUGAAGGCAUUUAACUUCAAUAGUCCAACUACUAAUUCUAAAGAUCCAUAACUAUGUAGAUGGAUAAUGCAUGACUAAC